Molecule: non-coding RNA, 107 nt
Organism: Capsicum annuum
Lineage: Eukaryota; Viridiplantae; Streptophyta; Magnoliopsida; Solanales; Solanaceae
Source: Rfam
ACAUCGUGGUUUGGACACUUCAUAAGCACCUCUUUAAAUCUCCCCCAUGCUUCAUACAAAUGCUCUCCAUUGUGUUGAUGAAAAUUUAUGAUUUCUUCACCUAAUUG